This 83-nucleotide transfer RNA is filed under the name Schistocephalus solidus. It matches the Rfam family "tRNA". From Rfam's summary of the family: Transfer RNA (tRNA) molecules are approximately 80 nucleotides in length. Lineage: Eukaryota; Metazoa; Platyhelminthes; Cestoda; Diphyllobothriidea; Diphyllobothriidae. The record is from Rfam by way of RNAcentral.
GGCCGCGUAGCUCAGUUGGCUAGAGCGUUGGUUGUACUAAAGCCUUCCCUUUGCUGGCGUGGGUUCGAAUCCCACCGAGGCCA